UGCCUUUCGGUCGGGUUUGUGCGAAAACGAACCCGGCCGACGGGUAAAGGGUUAGUUGCCUUUCGGUCGGGUUUGUGCGAAAACGAACCCGGCCGACGGGUAAAGGGUUAGUUGCCUUUCGGUCGGGUUUGUGCGAAAACGAACCCGGCCGACGGGUCAAGGGUUAGUUACCUUUCGGUUGGGUUUGUGUGAAAACAAACCCUACAAAUGGGUAAAGGGUUAGUUACCUUUCGGUCGGGUUUGUGCGAAAACGAACCCGGCCGACGGGUCAAGGGUUAGUUACCUGCGGUUGGGUUUCUGUGAAAACAAAGCCAGCCGACAGGUAAAGGCGUAAAAACUAAUGCAGUGACAACAAAAACCCCAGCGACUGAUGGAGGAGAAAAGUCCUCAAGUGACCCACCCACUCCCCAACUCCUCCUGAUGGAAAAGGCCUUCAUUGCCCCCACCGCUGAUGGAUGACCUCAGUGACCCUGCCAUCGGGCUCGGAUGUCUUCCUCAAGAAAUGCUGCAGGAAUUCUCCUGGAUCAUCUAGUUUUUAGUCUCAGAUUUCGCCCUUCAUCAGAUCCCCAUCAUCCGACAGAAAAGGCCCUCAUCUCCUCCUCCCACCCCCUGCUGAUGGAUGACCUCAGUGACCCUACGAUUGGGUUCAGCAGUUUUCCUCAAAAAAUGCUGCAGAUUUUGCCCUUCAUCGCCCCCCAUCGCCAGACAGAAGAAAUAGCCGAACUUGAAACACUUAUCAAAACAACAUCAGUUUAUCUUUUUUUUCUUCUUUUCUUUCUACCAUAAACUGGAUAAGUCCACAGUCUGGUACUUUGGCCUCAUCUAGACAUUCUUUUUUAGAAACUUCAUAAUUAAUUUUGUUUUAUUUAUUUUAGAUGUAUAAAAUGUCUUCUAAUUUUAGUGUUAAAUGUUAGAAUUUAUUGUAUAUUGAUUUUUGAGAAUGUGUUUUUGCAUCAUUUUAGUGUUGCCAUGGCUUUGACUGGUUUAUUGUGAUUUAUGCUGCUGUUUUUCUUUUCUUUUUUUUUUUUUACAUUAUUUAUUUCAACUGCUUUUGUUUUCUCAGUUAUUUUUCUUUCCAUAGGAGCUACAUCUGGUCUCCUGUUCUGAUUAGCUGUGGUUGCUUCCUGGAGGAGGGCAUUGACUGACAUGAUGCUGCCAUCACCCAACAGUUCUCUCUCUCCUUUUCAUUUCCAUGAACAUGGAAAGUUCUCCUGAUCAGUUGACCUGUUGUUGUGUCUCUGCUCUGUCUUCCCUCACCUCCAGUCGGUCGUGUCAGAUGGCUGCUGGUGCUGAGCCCGGUUCUGGUUCUGUCGAAGAUUUCUUCCUGGUAGAGUGGAGUUCUGCUGCACUGCCGCUACAUGCAUGCUCUGUAUUGGGGACUGCUGCAAAGUCAACGACUCAACACAAGCGAUUUGCUGUCGCCCCCUGCUGAUCAGGGAGAGUGAACGCUGUUAGUAACGACUCCGUAGAAUAUGCUGGGUUUAGUUUGGUACAAACUUUUUAAACUACUUUAAUAAUCAGCUGAGCUUAUGGAAUGCAAGUGAUUGAACUAAAAUUACUUCAAGGUGCAUUGAGAUGACAUUUGUUGUGAAUUGGCAAUAUAUAAAAUUGAACUUUCAAACUAAAAAUUAGCCCCACCAAUAAACGAUAUAUAAAAAACAAAAACCCCCAACAAUACAAGAAAGUUCAAAACCCUCAAAAUAGAUACCAAACAUUUAAAACCCCCAAAAUAGAUACCAAACAUUUAAAACCCUCAAAAUAGAUACCAAACAUUUAAAACCCCCAAAAUAGAUACCAAACAUUUAAAACCCUCAAAAUAGAUACCAAACAUUUAAAACCCCCAAAAUAGAUACCAAACAUUUAAAACCCCCAAAAUAGAUACCAAACAUUUAAAACCCUCAAAAUAGAUACCAAAGGGUUUAAAAGCCUAGUUAUAAAGCUAAUUCACAACAAUGUUGUUGUCAAGGCAUUUUAUGAAAAGUCAUUUCAAUUUAGUCAGAUUACAAUUGAUCCAAAUUAUCAAUUCAUUAUGUUCACUUAAUUAUAAAGUAGUUUAAAAAGUUUGUACCAAACUAAACCCAGCAUAUUCUACGGAGUCGUUACUAACAGCGUUCACUCUCCCUGAUCAGCAGGGGGCGACAGCAAAUCGCUUGUGUUGAGUCGUUGACUUUGCAGCAGUCCCCAAUACAGAGCAUGCAUGUAGCGGCAGUGCAGCAGAACUCCACUCUACCAGGAAGAAAUCUUCGACAGAACCAGAACCGGGCUCAGCACCAGCAGCCAUCUGCCAUGACCGACUAGAGGUGAGGGAAGACAGAGCAGAGACACAACAACAGGUCAACUGAUCAGGAGAACUUUCCAUGUUCAUGGAAAUGAAAAGGAGAGAGAGAACUGUUGGGUGAUGGCAGCAUCAUGUC
This is a long non-coding RNA of Gambusia affinis (western mosquitofish), 2414 nucleotides long. RefSeq lists it as uncharacterized. NCBI's taxonomy places the organism in Eukaryota, Metazoa, Chordata, Actinopteri, Cyprinodontiformes, Poeciliidae. The record is from RefSeq and is a predicted model, not a curated record. The transcript is spliced from 3 exons.